This 433-nucleotide ribosomal RNA is filed under the name uncultured bacterium. Its description in RNAcentral is "partial 16S ribosomal RNA". It matches the Rfam family "Bacterial small subunit ribosomal RNA", at positions 29 to 507 of the family's 1533-position model. The record is from RNAcentral.
AGCGAACGCUGGCGGCAGGCUUAACACAUGCAAGUCGAGCGGGCACUUCGGGGUCAUCGGCAGACGGGUGAGUAACACGUGGGAACGUACCCUUCGGUUCGGAAUAACGCUGGGAAACUAGCGCUAAUACCGGAUACGCCCUUUUGGGGAAAGGUUUACUGCCGAAGGAUCGGCCCGCGUCUGAUUAGCUAGUUGGUGGGGUAAUGGCCUACCAAGGCGAAGAUCAGUAGAUGGUCUGAGAGGAUGAUCAGCCACACUGGGACUGAGAAACGGCCCAGAAUCCUCCGGGAGGCAGGAGUGGGGAAUAUUGGAACAUGGGCGCAAGGAUGAUCCAGCCAUGACGGGUGAGUGAUGAAGGCCUUAGGGUUGUAAAGCUCUUUUGUCCGGGAAGAUAAUGACGGUACCGGAAGAAUAAGCCCCGGCUAACUUCGUG